This is a long non-coding RNA of Cheilinus undulatus (humphead wrasse), 480 nucleotides long. RefSeq lists it as uncharacterized. The record is from RefSeq and is a predicted model, not a curated record. The transcript has 3 exons. Lineage: Eukaryota; Metazoa; Chordata; Actinopteri; Labriformes; Labridae.
UCAGCAGGUAGAUGCAGGAGCCUGGCAGGAGAGUCCUGAGGACAUCUGGUAGACAGGUGGAGAAUAGCAGGAGUGGAAAAUCGAGCAUUAUGGGCCUUGGGAAAAUGGAGGCACAAAUGACUAAGUAAGCAGCCCAAGUGUUUAAGCGGGAGCACAUUUGGGGUCUACAAAACAGCUCACAGAUUUUUUAUUAUCCUGUGCUAAAGUUGAUCUACUUUAAGAGGGACUUUAAUGUGAAAGUUUGGGGAAUGACAUAAUGGUGCUAGACAUAAACCAUGAGACGGCUUUCAGCUACGACCCGCUGACUACAGAAAAUGCAUUGUUACUGGGCUGUGAUGACCAUCCAUCAAAACGUCCCGCUUUGCCAAACAGUGCAUGUGCAUGACUUAGAAACUGGAGAGGAGAGCCUGAAUGACUCAUAAUGGAGAGAACGAGACACAGAGAGGCUGUGAUGUGUCCUUCUGUGUCACUUCAGACAGG